UGUCAUGCUUGACAGGAUUCAUCAGUAAAUGGAGACAUAUUGCUGCAACUCAGGGUGUGCCCAUUGUGCCAUGAGGAUGGAGGGAAAGUGCUGAAAGCAGACGGGGGCCAGCUUACCACAAGAGAAACUGAAGGUGAACUUGU
RNAcentral lists this long non-coding RNA (143 nucleotides) under Bos grunniens (domestic yak). Its description in RNAcentral is "lncRNA (ENSBGRG00000003928.1)". The record is from RNAcentral. Lineage: Eukaryota; Metazoa; Chordata; Mammalia; Artiodactyla; Bovidae.